Molecule: ribosomal RNA, 394 nt
Filed under: uncultured bacterium
Lineage: Bacteria
Description: bacterial SSU rRNA
Rfam family: Bacterial small subunit ribosomal RNA
Source: RNAcentral
GACGAACGCUGGCGGCGUGCUUAACACAUGCAAGUCGAACGCGCUUUGCUCCUUCGGGAGCACAGCGAGUGGCGAACGGGUGAGUAACACGUGAGCAACCUGCCCUUGACUCUGGAAUAACAGCUGGAAACAGCUGCUAAUACCGGAUACAACCUCCGAUGGCAUCAUCUGGAGGUGGAAAGCUCCGACGGUCAAGGAUGGGCUCGCGGCCUAUCAGCUUGUUGGUGAGGUAACGGCUCACCAAGGCUUCGACGGGUAGCGGCCUGAGAGGGCGACCGGCCACACUGGGACUGAGAUACGGCCCAGACUCCUACGGGAGGCAGCAGUGGGGAAUAUUGCACAAUGGGCGCAAGCCUGAUGCAGCAACGCCGCGUGCGGGAUGACGGCCUCGGUU